GAGUUUGAUUCUGGCUCAGAACGAACGCUGGCGGCAGGCUUAACACAUGCAAGUCGAACGAUGUAGCAAUACAUAGUGGCGCACGGGUGAGUAACGCGUGGGAAUAUACCAUUUGGUGGGGAAUAACUCCGGGAAACUGGAGCUAAUACCGCAUAAGCCCUACGGGGGAAAGAUUUAUCGCCAAAUGAUUAGCCCGCGUGAGAUUAGGUAGUUGGUGGGGUAAUGGCCUACCAAGCCGACGAUCUCUAGCUGGUCUGAGAGGAUGAUCAGCCACACUGGAACUGAGACACGGUCCAGACUCCUACGGGAGGCAGCAGUGGGGAAUAUUGGACAAUGGGCGAAAGCCUGAUCCAGCCAUGCCGCGUGAGUGAUGAAGGCUCUAGGGUUGUAAAGCUCUUUCGCCGAUGAAGAUAAUGACGGUAGUCGGAGAAGAAGCCCCGGCUAAC
Molecule: ribosomal RNA, 446 nt
Filed under: uncultured bacterium
Lineage: Bacteria
Description: bacterial SSU rRNA
Rfam family: Bacterial small subunit ribosomal RNA
Source: RNAcentral